GGGCCGUUGGUCUAGCCUGGUCUAUGACGCGAUCCUGUCACGAUCGAAAUCGCGGGUUCAAAUCCCGCACGGCCCG
This 76-nucleotide transfer RNA is filed under the name Candidatus Nealsonbacteria bacterium CG_4_10_14_0_2_um_filter_38_17. Its description in RNAcentral is "tRNA-Asp". It matches the Rfam family "tRNA". From Rfam's summary of the family: Transfer RNA (tRNA) molecules are approximately 80 nucleotides in length. Their secondary structure includes four short double-helical elements and three loops (D, anti-codon, and T loops). RNAcentral also lists the same sequence under 1 other name. Lineage: Bacteria; Candidatus Nealsoniibacteriota. The record is from RNAcentral.